This 158-nucleotide small nuclear RNA is filed under the name Trichoplax adhaerens. RNAcentral describes it as "U12 minor spliceosomal RNA". It matches the Rfam family "U12 minor spliceosomal RNA". From Rfam's summary of the family: Although the U12 sequence is very divergent from that of U2, the two are functionally analogous. Lineage: Eukaryota; Metazoa; Placozoa; Uniplacotomia; Trichoplacea; Trichoplacidae. The record is from Rfam by way of RNAcentral. RNAcentral also lists the same sequence under 1 other name.
UUGCCUUAAACUAAUGAGUAAGGAAAAUAACUGAAUCCUGGUGACGCGGGAUUCGCAUCGUAUACGUAGUUAUACGUGAAAUUUUUGCCGGAGGAAGGUCGUCCUCAGGUGACCCCCACUACUUUUAGGGGGAUGCCUGUGUUGUUGCGAUCUCCGCU